AUUGAACGCUGGCGGCAGGCCUAACACAUGCAAGUCGAGCGGAUGAAGGGAGCUUGCUCCUGGAUUCAGCGGCGGACGGGUGAGUAAUGCCUAGGAAUCUGCCUGGCAGUGGGGGAUAACGUCCGGAAACGGGCGCUAAUACCGCAUACGUCCUGAGGGAGAAAGUGGGGGAUCUUCGGACCUCACGCUAUCAGAUGAGCCUAGGUCGGAUUAGCUAGUUGGUGAGGUAAAGGCCUACCAAGGCGACGAUCCGUAACUGGUCUGAGAGGAUGAUCAGUCACACUGGAACUGAGACACGGUCCAGACUCCUACGGGAGGCAGCAGUAGGGAAUAUUGGACAAUGGGCGAAAGCCUGAUCCAGCCAUGCCGCGUGUGUGAAGAAGGUCUUCGGAUUGUAAAGCACUUUAAGUUGGGAGGAAGGGCAGUAAGUUAAUACCUUGCUGUUUUGACGUUACCAACAGAAUAAGCACCGGCUAACUUCGUG
RNAcentral lists this ribosomal RNA (484 nucleotides) under uncultured bacterium. RNAcentral describes it as "partial 16S ribosomal RNA". It matches the Rfam family "Bacterial small subunit ribosomal RNA", at positions 30 to 507 of the family's 1533-position model. The record is from RNAcentral.